RNAcentral lists this ribosomal RNA (255 nucleotides) under uncultured bacterium. RNAcentral's name for it is "partial small subunit ribosomal RNA". It matches the Rfam family "Bacterial small subunit ribosomal RNA", at positions 26 to 285 of the family's 1533-position model. The record is from RNAcentral.
AGGACGAACGCUGGCGGCGUGCUUAACACAUGCAAGUCGAGCGGAAAGGCCCUUCGGGGUACUCGAGCGGCGAACGGGUGAGUAACACGUGGGCAACCUGCCCCUAGCUCUGGGAUAACUCCGGGAAACCGGUGCUAAUACCGGAUAUGACCUCAAUGGGCAUCUUCUGAGGUGGAAAGAUUUAUCGGCUAGGGAUGGGCCCGCGGCCUAUCAGCUUGUUGGUGGGGUAAUGGCCUACCAAGGCGACGACGGGUA